AGCUGACCACCAGUAGGGAAGGAUUUCUUCUGGAGAUCCGCUCUGCUGGAGUUUGGUAAGCAAGCUCAGGAUACGGAUGAUGCUGUGAUCUGGACACAUGACCAGCUUGGGCUCUGGAGGAUCCUGGCUGUGAUGAAGCCUACCUAGGGAUGAGACCCAGACUCAGUCAGGGAACAGACCAGGCACUCCAGAUCGUGUUACCUAACUUGUUUAUCCUAAGGCGAUGCAUAGAGCUGUGACAAUGGUGGGCCACGCAGAUGCCUCACAUAACUGCAGCGAAGUCUGAUGAGGAAUUAGGCCUCAUUUGUUUUGUGAGGAGAACUAUAUUUAGACAGUCUCAAUUCCACCACUAUUCCAGGACUUGAUCAUUCUUAUUGACCGGCUUGCAAGGCAGCUGGCUACCAAGUGCCAAUGGGAAACAACAACAGGAGAACCAUAAGCAGUAUUUUGACCCACAAAUGGUGAGAGUAACAACAUGAUGACAGUAAUCUUUUGAUCAUGGCUGUAUAAUUUAUUGCUUUAAGUGUUGUGGAGGUGGAUAUCUGGAUCAAACUAGAUCUUUUAAGCACUGACUGUAGAGAUAUCAAUUUCCAUAUUGAAGUACCCCCACCCUUCCAUUUUUUUCCCAGGUAACCUCUGGAGUUGAGCAGUUCUCUCUGUAGUUGUUUACAGUUCCACUUGUGUUGUGGUACUUCUGGUUUAUUUGAUGUGAACAGUAUUCCUGGCAGCUUCCCCACAGAAGUUCCACUUCGGAAAAGCGGAUGUGCAAACAUAGAAUGAACACAUCUGUAUAUGCUUAAUAGUUUUCUUUAAUCUUCUAGGAAUAACUCAGAAAGAUACAGGGAGGAAUUCCAAAAUGUUCUCUGUACAUCUGUUUGCUUUUUAUGUAUGUAAAACUGUCUAGGCUUCCCCUUGAAAGAUUUUAUUUUAAGCAAUGGGAGUUGGACAAGCAAGGUUAGCAGCAGGAAGGAAACAACAAAGUCUGCUCAAGUGGACUGGCAGUAGGAAACUCAGUGAACUGAAAUGCAGUUCUGCCUGGCUGUGACAGUACAGAUGACACACAUAGAAACAUCUGCUGCUAGACUUAUUGAUGCAUCUGUAAAAUGUAGCACAUUGCAUGAUAGAUCCAAUAUAUCAUAAAAUAGAAAUAUGACAGUCUAAUAAUCAGCUUAGAAAAAACAUGUUGGUGACACAACUAACAGAAAGACAGAAUAAGCAGAACAAUUUUUUUCAAAUUACUUUGUAUUUUCAGCAGUGUUCUUGUACUGGCUUCAGGGUGUUUGUCAGAGAUCUGUGAUGAAAUUUUACUCUUCCUGUGCUUCAUCAUUGAAAACAGUUUCUCACAAGUGUGGGUACUGCCAAAAACCAAUGACACGAAUAAGGUGUGAUGGUGAAAUGGGGUAUUUUCUUCUCAUUUAGAAGUCUGGUAGAGAGAUGUCAAAGUUUUGAGUUGAGCAUAUGACUGCAAAUCUAUACAUUCAAUUUGAAAAUUCCCAGGUGCUUUAUUUAUGUCAACUGAAAGUGGAGCUGCAACUGUAAAACAAAAAAAAAACAACUACACACACACAAAACACCAUCAUUUUUCAGCAAUCUUGAAACCUGUUCUCAGAUUUCUUUACCAAAAUGGAAAGCACAGAUGUGUAUUUUUUGCUGCUCCCAGGACAGUAUUCAUCCCAUGUAUUACAAUGCAUACAAUUACUUGCCAUCACCUUAGUUGGCACUGCCCUGCAUGUUCCCUGCAUCCAGGUUCCAGCCCAGAAAGUGGCAAUUGUACACUUUGGUUUGGUUGCUAUGCAAUGGGUGCGUGCCCAGGGCUAGGCCAGGCCACUUGGUGGCAGAAGUGCUGCCUUGAUAGUGUGGGGUAGUGGGUGGCUGCAUUGAAAGCUGGGCUGGACUGCAUGCAGCCUUUGAGUUGGACAUGCCAGCUCUAGGGGAACUGUAUCAGGCUACCAUGGAAAUCUUCAAGAGAGGGAUCACCUCUUCUAUUCAGAGGACAAAGGUGUCCUCCACCUCUCCACCUGCCUCUUCUUCCCUAGGGGUUUCCAAGGGGCAAGGUAGCAAAGGUGGGUUGCAGGGCUGCUGUGUAGACAGAUGACCUCCCUGCCCACAUCUGGCAGCACAAGGCAGACCACAGAGGUGUGCUGGUUUUUAGCACUAUUAUGAGGGUGAUUCUCUGAGAAAGAAUUGGAGAUUUCAGUGUUAAUUACCCACUGUGUUAAUCUAUUAAAAAUUAAUAUAUAGACAUCUACAGAGGAAGAGAUGGAAUAUUUAAGAGGAUCCUCCCUUGUCAGCAAGAUAUUGUAAAUUUCCUCUUUAAAGAAUGAAAAUAUGAUUUCCA
Long non-coding RNA from Meleagris gallopavo (turkey), 2338 nucleotides. RefSeq lists it as uncharacterized. NCBI's taxonomy places the organism in Eukaryota, Metazoa, Chordata, Aves, Galliformes, Phasianidae. The record is from RefSeq and is a predicted model, not a curated record.